RNAcentral lists this ribosomal RNA (446 nucleotides) under uncultured bacterium. Its description in RNAcentral is "SSU rRNA". It matches the Rfam family "Bacterial small subunit ribosomal RNA", at positions 26 to 518 of the family's 1533-position model. The record is from RNAcentral.
AGAGCGAACGCUGGCGGCAGGCCUAAUACAUGCAAGUCGAACGAGCCCUUCGGGGCUAGUGGCGGACGGGUGAGUAACACGUGGGAACGUGCCUUUUGGUUCGGAACAACUCAGGGAAACUUGAGCUAAUACCGAAUGUGCCCUUCGGGGGAAAGAUUUAUCGCCAUUAGAGCGGCCCGCGUCUGAUUAGCUAGUUGGUGAGGUAAAGGCCCACCAAGGCUACGAUCAGUAGCUGGUCUGAGAGGAUGAUCAGCCACACUGGGACUGAGACACGGCCCAGACUCCUACGGGAGGCAGCAGUAGGGAAUCUUGCGCAAUGGGCGAAAGCCUGACGCAGCCAUGCCGCGUGAAUGAUGAAGGUCUUAGGAUUGUAAAAUUCUUUCAGCGGGGACGAUAAUGACGGUACCCGCAGAAGAAGCCCCGGCUAACUUCGCGCCAGCAGCCGC